AUCGCCCUAUAUAUAAGGCGCACUUCCCCCAUGCUUUUCUUCCUCGCCUCACCACUCCUGCCUCACCAGGCCCUACGCACGUGACACCUUCAGGUGUUUCCCUCCUCCCAAUGACAUGGCAUUCCGUUACGACGAUCACUAAAACAUGGCUUUACCUGACAAACGGCGAGCUUUGUUUUGUGCUCAGCAGGCUUCGCGAGCAGCAAACGCAGAAGUUGCAAAGCGGCGACGUUGCAAUUUGACCAGCAGUAAACUCCUCAUAUCAACAACGAUAUUGACCCUCUUGCCUCUCAGCAUCUGUUUUACUUUAUAAAUCGAUGGGCUUUAGCGUUCAGGUUCCUGGGCUUUUCCAGCCCUUUACAGCGUAGUCACUGCAUAGGUUCAUCGGUAAACGUUCACUGUGCCACACAGCUAUG
This 416-nucleotide long non-coding RNA is filed under the name Volvox carteri. RNAcentral's name for it is "long non-coding RNA (VCAR_LNC002308)". The record is from RNAcentral. Lineage: Eukaryota; Viridiplantae; Chlorophyta; Chlorophyceae; Chlamydomonadales; Volvocaceae.